AUGGCACAGCGUCCCCAAGGUGCCCAGCACCGCACAGAGCCAGGGACUCACCUCCUGCUGCUGCUGGAGCGGGAAUUUGGGGGAGAUGGGGAGAGCCCCGCAGCCUGCGCCCCAAAUCACGGCCCCACUGCAGGGCCACCGCUGCUCCCAGCAGGGCCCACCUGCGCGGUGACCCCAUCCUGGUGCCACCCCGGUGCCACCCAGCAGCUCGGCCCCGCCGUGUGGCACAGCACGCCCUGCCCAGCACCCACGGGUCCCCACGGCACGGUGCUGGAUGAGGCCCCGUCCCCAUCCCGCGGCUCCCCCGGGGGGAUGCGCAGGGGCCGGGCAGGGCGAUGGGGGGGGUCCCGCAGCCCCCACGCGUGUCCCAGCCCCGCGGUCGCCCCCGGCCACCUCCCCACGGGUGCCCGCGGACCCCCCGCGCGCCCCCAGCCCCCGUGGCCUCACCUCCGCCGAGGGGCUCGCAUCCUGCCCCCCGGCCUCCGCCGCACCGGGGGGCACCGGGGGGCACCCGGGGGGUACCCGGGGGGCAGCGGGGGGCGCUCCGCAGGCGCUGCCGGGCGGCCCCAGCGUGCGCCGGGGAGGCGGCUCUGCGGCACCGGCCGGCUCCGCCCGCAGCUGCAUCCCUCCUCCUCCUCCAUCCCUCCUCCAUCCUUCCUCCUCCUCCUCUUCCUCCUCCUCCAGAGCCACCCCCCAGUACCCAGUGGGGUGCCACGUCCCCAGAACCCCCCCAAUUUCACCCCAGCUGUGUCCCAGCUGCCACCACAACCGGUGUCACCCAGUGUCACCCGCUGGCCCUGCCAGCUUGGGGGUGUCCACCAAUGCGUGGGGCACAGGGGUAGGGUCCNNNNNNNNNNGCCGGUGUCACCCAGUGUCACCCAGUGUCACCCCCCCACCAGUGCGUGGGGCACAGGGGUAGGGUCCAUAUCUCUCCAUGGGGACAUGGGGACACGCCAGCUGGCACUGCCACCCAUCCCGUGUCCCCUGUGUCCCUGCCAGGGGUGCCGGGGUGCCAGCGAGCCUCAGGGCCGUGCUUCGGGCUCUGCUCCCCAGGAGAGGGCACCAAGCAACCGGGAAAAGCCGUCCAAGGCCGCCACCGCGGUGGCUUGGCCAUGGGCACCAGCAUGGGAUGGGGUUUGUAGGGUGCUGGGCACGGCGAAGGAGCCCCCACCCGCUGCAGGGGGUGUCCCCCACCUGUCCCCGAGGAGAUGCACGGACGUGGGCGCCAGGAGCCACCGGACGGUGACACCAGGGAGGUGCCAU
RNAcentral lists this long non-coding RNA (1263 nucleotides) under Anas zonorhyncha (Eastern spot-billed duck). Its description in RNAcentral is "lncRNA (ENSAZOG00000012156.1)". Lineage: Eukaryota; Metazoa; Chordata; Aves; Anseriformes; Anatidae. The record is from RNAcentral.